UCCCUCCCUCCCUAUUUUCUUUCUCAUAUUUCUCUCCUAUGAAAGUUGUGAAGGCAAUCUUGUCGAGCCUUCUCUAUAUCUAUAUCCUCUCUCACGGUCUUGUGAUUGCUGUGCUGCCAUCCUAUCUAGUCCUUUUCUUCUGAUCGCUAUACCUUCUAUCUAUUACCUCUCUUUUUCCACUCUCUCUUUGUCUCUCAUAUCUCUAUAUAGCCCAG
Molecule: long non-coding RNA, 215 nt
Filed under: Elaeis guineensis (African oil palm)
Lineage: Eukaryota; Viridiplantae; Streptophyta; Magnoliopsida; Arecales; Arecaceae
Description: long non-coding RNA (EGUI_LNC015331)
Source: RNAcentral